GGUAAAAUGGCUGAGAUUAAGCGAUAAAUUGUAAAUUUAUAAACGAACAUAAAGUUCUUUUACCA
This 65-nucleotide transfer RNA is filed under the name Dacrila fallax. RNAcentral's name for it is "tRNA-Tyr". The record is from RNAcentral. Lineage: Eukaryota; Metazoa; Arthropoda; Insecta; Coleoptera; Staphylinidae.